Transfer RNA from Dichomitus squalens LYAD-421 SS1, 96 nucleotides. It matches the Rfam family "tRNA". Rfam says of the family: Transfer RNA (tRNA) molecules are approximately 80 nucleotides in length. Their secondary structure includes four short double-helical elements and three loops (D, anti-codon, and T loops). The record is from Rfam. NCBI's taxonomy places the organism in Eukaryota, Fungi, Basidiomycota, Agaricomycetes, Polyporales, Polyporaceae.
GCCCGCCUAGCUCAAUCGGAUAGAGCGUCAGACUCUUAUGAGCUGUAGAAUCAGAGGCUGAUCUGAAGGCUGCGAGUUCGACCCUCGCGGUGGGCU